AGUGAACGCUGGCGGUGGGCCUAACACAUGCAAGUCGAACGGCAGCACAGUAAGAGCUUGCUCUUACGGGUGGCGAGUGGCGGACGGGUGAGGAAUACAUCGGAAUCUACUUUUUCGUGGGGGAUAACGUAGGGAAACUUACGCUAAUACCGCAUACGACCUACGGGUGAAAGCAGGGGAUCUUCGGACCUUGCGCGAUUGAAUGAGCCGAUGUCGGAUUAGCUAGUUGGCGGGGUAAAGGCCCACCAAGGCGACGAUCCGUAGCUGGUCUGAGAGGAUGAUCAGCCACACUGGAACUGAGACACGGUCCAGACUCCUACGGGAGGCAGCAGUGGGGAAUAUUGGACAAUGGGCGCAAGCCUGAUCCAGCCAUACCGCGUGGGUGAAGAAGGCCUUCGGGUUGUAAAGCCCUUUUGUUGGGAAAGAAAAGCAGUAGGUUAAUACCCCGCUGUUCUGACGGUACCCAAAGAAUAAGCACCGGCUAACUUCGUG
RNAcentral lists this ribosomal RNA (492 nucleotides) under uncultured bacterium. RNAcentral describes it as "partial 16S ribosomal RNA". It matches the Rfam family "Bacterial small subunit ribosomal RNA", at positions 29 to 507 of the family's 1533-position model. The record is from RNAcentral.